AGUGACUUCAAAUUGUAUAGCUUUGUCCAUUGCCUCCACAAACUUGCCAUUUCUAUCAAAAGAAUUGUAAGUGAAUCAUGUGCAAAUAAGAAAUAGAAUGCUGCCAUUUUCAUUGCACCUUCAAACUUCGCAGCGCUAGUAGUAAAAUUAAAAUGUUGCAUGCACUUUGUACAACUUUUUUAUUCAUAAUUUUGACACCAUUUUCAUUUUCAAUUCAAACUAAACUUUUAUCCCAAAAA
RNAcentral lists this unclassified non-coding RNA (239 nucleotides) under Hevea brasiliensis (rubber tree). The record is from RNAcentral. Lineage: Eukaryota; Viridiplantae; Streptophyta; Magnoliopsida; Malpighiales; Euphorbiaceae.